RNAcentral lists this ribosomal RNA (253 nucleotides) under uncultured bacterium. RNAcentral describes it as "partial 16S ribosomal RNA". It matches the Rfam family "Bacterial small subunit ribosomal RNA", at positions 524 to 776 of the family's 1533-position model. The record is from RNAcentral.
UACGAAGGGGGCUAGCGUUGUUCGGAAUCACUGGGCGUAAAGCGCACGUAGGCGAGUCUUUAAGUCAGGGGUGAAAUCCUGGAGCUCAACUCCAGAACUGCCUUUGAUACUGAAGAUCUUGAGUUCGGGAGAGGUGAGUGGAACUGCGAGUGUAGAGGUGAAAUUCGUAGAUAUUCGCAAGAACACCAGUGGCGAAGGCGGCUCACUGGCCCGAUACUGACGCUGAGGCACGAAAGCGUGGGGAGCAAACAGG